GCUCUUUUGCCACCGGGUAAAGAGAUAAAACGUCAGGCUUCCUAUCGUUAGGUCUUAGAAGAUAGAAAGUUCUGACGUUUUAUUUGU
This 87-nucleotide non-coding RNA is filed under the name unclassified sequences. The record is from RNAcentral.